GCAGGACCAGGAUAACAGAGCUGGGAGCUGGGGGCAAAGGAGGAUGGACAGCAGGACAAACAGAGCAUCUUCACAUUUGAGGAGUCUGGAAACCACUUUGAUCGUUCAGACAAAUUCUGGCAGUUGAACCCGACUACACUUGGGAUUAGAAACUGAAGAGGAGCUGCUAAAAUCACAGUUCCUGCCUGGAAAUUAAAAACUGAGAGAAGAAAGACACUUCCCUUAAAUAUUCCCCAACCAAACCUUCAAUUAAAAAAAGAAAAAUAAAGCAGAAACAUUGAAAACCUUCCCACCAGGUCUGAGCCUCAGCAUGGGAGACAAAACAUCCCCACUCCCUUCUCUCAAAACCAGCAGCUCCAUUUCCCAUCUUUCUUCCCAGGUGAAGCACACGUGGAUAUCAGAGCCCCACAAGGUGAUGUCCUUCAGCAUAAUUGUCCAGGAAAAUUAUUAUUCUGAGGAAGUUUAUGAAAUUAUUAUUGUGUCCAACUUUGCAGUUCAGCUUAGAGAUCAGUCUGGGUGAACUAAUUCCAUCUCCCUAAUGAUUAAAUGCUUCAUAUUAAUAUAACCCUGAGCAGGCAAGUUCAAGCAGCCUGCCUUGCUUUCAUUCCCUGGGAUAAUUAGAUCUUGAGA
Molecule: long non-coding RNA, 630 nt
Organism: Ficedula albicollis (Collared flycatcher)
Lineage: Eukaryota; Metazoa; Chordata; Aves; Passeriformes; Muscicapidae
Exons: 3
Source: RefSeq, a predicted model, not a curated record